UGGGGAAUAUUGCACAAUGGGCUCAAGCCUGAUGCAGCGACGCCGCGUGAGGGAUGGAGGCCUUCGGGUUGUAAACCUCUUUCGCCAGUGAAGCAGGCCAUCUUCUUUGUGGGGUGGUUGACGGUAGCUGGAUAAGAAGCGCCGGCUAACUACGUGCCAGCAGCCGCGGUAAUACGUAGGGCGCGAGCGUUGUCCGGAAUUAUUGGGCGUAAAGAGCUCGUAGGCGGCUGGUCGCGUCUGUCGUGAAAUCCCCUGGCUUAACUGGGGGCUUGCGGUGGGUACGGGCCGGCUUGAGUGCGGUAGGGGAGACUGGAAUUCCUGGUGUAGCGGUGGAAUGCGCAGAUAUCAGGAGGAACACCGGUGGCGAAGGCGGGUCUCUGGGCCGUUACUGACGCUGAGGAGCGAAAGCGUGGGGAGCGAACAGG
Molecule: ribosomal RNA, 425 nt
Filed under: bacterium
Lineage: Bacteria
Description: partial 16S ribosomal RNA
Rfam family: Bacterial small subunit ribosomal RNA
Source: RNAcentral